This 458-nucleotide ribosomal RNA is filed under the name uncultured bacterium. RNAcentral's name for it is "partial 16S ribosomal RNA". It matches the Rfam family "Bacterial small subunit ribosomal RNA", at positions 338 to 795 of the family's 1533-position model. The record is from RNAcentral.
CCUACGGGCGGCAGCAGUGAGGAAUAUUGGUCAAUGGACGAGAGUCUGAACCAGCCAAGUAGUGUGAAGGAUGACUGCCCUAUGGGUUGUAAACUUCUUUUAUAUGGGAAUAAAAUGUUCCACGUGUGGGAUUUUGUAUGUACCAUAUGAAUAAGGAUCGGCUAACUCCGUGCCAGCAGCCGCGGUAAUACGGAGGAUCCGAGCGUUAUCCGGAUUUAUUGGGUUUAAAGGGAGCGUAGGUGGAUUGUUAAGUCAGUUGUGAAAGUUUGCGGCUCAACCGUAAAAUUGCAGUUGAAACUGGCAGUCUUGAGUACAGUAGAGGUGGGCGGAAUUCGGGGUGUAGCGGUGAAAUGCUUAGAUAUCGAAGAACUCCGAUUGCGAAGGCAGUUCACUGGACUGCAACUGACACUGAGGCUCGAAAGUGUGGGUAUCAAACAGGAUUAGAUACCCGAGUAGUC